Sinocyclocheilus rhinocerous is the source of this 200-nucleotide long non-coding RNA. RefSeq lists it as uncharacterized. The record is from RefSeq and is a predicted model, not a curated record. NCBI's taxonomy places the organism in Eukaryota, Metazoa, Chordata, Actinopteri, Cypriniformes, Cyprinidae. The transcript has 3 exons.
CCGUCACAGAGGCCACUUGCAUACUGUACAAAGAUGCGCGGAGCAGUUAUAGGAUGUUUGAUGCUGGUGUAUGUUGUUGCUCUUCUGGCCAAGCAGGCAGAGGGACACAUCGCCUUCUUCAGCCCUAAAGAGAUGAGAGAGCUCAGGGAGAAGGAGGGAAGGAAGGAUGCUGAUCCACGAGCAGAGGGGGUUUUGAUUGA